GUUGAAGAAUUAUUUGAAGGUUCAUUGGAUGCAUUAAAAAACGUAAAUCUUGGACUGAUUCGUGGACCAGCUCCAGACAUAGUGGUCCGUGAUCUUCAUGAAG
Protopterus annectens (West African lungfish) is the source of this 103-nucleotide long non-coding RNA. RefSeq lists it as uncharacterized. The record is from RefSeq and is a predicted model, not a curated record. NCBI's taxonomy places the organism in Eukaryota, Metazoa, Chordata, Ceratodontiformes, Protopteridae. The transcript is spliced from 3 exons.